CAGCAGCCACGGUAAUACGAAGGUCCCGAGCGUUGUUCGGAAUCACUGGGCGUAAAGGGAGCGUAGGCGGCGUGGUAAGUCAGAUGUGAAAUCCCGGGGCUCAACCCCGGAACUGCAUCCGAUACUGCCGUGCUAGAGGAUUGGAGAGGUAGCUGGAAUUCUUGGUGUAGCAGUGAAAUGCGUGGAGAUCAAGAGGAACACUCGUGGCGAAAGCGAGCUACUGGACAAUAUCUGACGCUGAGGCUCGAAGGCCAGGGUAGCGAAAGGGAUUAGAUACCCCGGUAGUCCCUGUCUCUUAUAA
This 301-nucleotide ribosomal RNA is filed under the name uncultured bacterium. Its description in RNAcentral is "partial 16S ribosomal RNA". It matches the Rfam family "Bacterial small subunit ribosomal RNA", at positions 509 to 809 of the family's 1533-position model. The record is from RNAcentral.